UACGCCUGCAGUUUAUGAGGAUGAGCACCUCCGCAGGAGGUUCGAGCCUCGCGAAGCGAGACAACGUUGCUUUAGCAACGGCCCGCUGGGCACGUAUCCAGGAUGCGCGUAAUCUUUCUCUCGCCGACCA
This 130-nucleotide small RNA is filed under the name Serratia marcescens. RNAcentral describes it as "RtT sRNA". It matches the Rfam family "RtT RNA". Rfam says of the family: This family represents a bacterial cis-regulatory element known as RtT RNA. The exact function of RtT is unknown although it is thought that it may be involved in changing the cellular response in relation to amino acid starvation. The record is from RNAcentral. RNAcentral also lists the same sequence under 1 other name. Lineage: Bacteria; Pseudomonadati; Pseudomonadota; Gammaproteobacteria; Enterobacterales; Yersiniaceae.